Molecule: non-coding RNA, 72 nt
Organism: Pangasianodon gigas (Mekong giant catfish)
Lineage: Eukaryota; Metazoa; Chordata; Actinopteri; Siluriformes; Pangasiidae
Source: the annotation of a GenBank genome assembly
UCCCUGGAGGAUUAGUGGUUGGGCCAUGGCGCUUUCAGCACUGCAGCCUGGGUUUGAUUCCCGGCCAGGGAA